This is a long non-coding RNA of Phacochoerus africanus (Common warthog), 2626 nucleotides long. RefSeq lists it as uncharacterized. Lineage: Eukaryota; Metazoa; Chordata; Mammalia; Artiodactyla; Suidae. The record is from RefSeq and is a predicted model, not a curated record. The transcript has 3 exons.
AAAGCAAAAAAGCAAAAAAAAAAAAAAAAGCCAUAGAGCAUGAAUUCCCCCACCCAAUCCCCUGCCCACUGUUCUCGGGCCUUGUACCAAAACCCAAGAGGCUUCUAAUCUGAAUCUGCCCCCUCCUGUCUUUUCCCUGCUUUUUAGGGUAUUUAAUGGAAAUUGGCCAGAGGUAGCUCAGGCUUGAGGAAGUUGUGUUCUUUCAGAGUUGCCCGGUGUUUUGGGUGGGAUCUGAUUCCAUAUGUCCUUCCUUGUCACAUUGGUUCCCACUCGGAGAACUCCUGGACGUGGAGGUGACCUUACUAUGUGAGUCCCCGCCUGGUCAAUUUCUAGGUGCACUUAAUCCUUGCUGCUGCUCUCUGGGAUGGGGCCCCCGGUUCUGCAGGGGUCUAGGUGAGGGUCUCAGGGAAGCCGGGGGUUAUAAACCCAAGACACUGACAGUUAAGAGCUUGACUCCAUCAAUGACCUUGGGAACCUCUGCAGCGGAACAGAGGUCAAGCAUUCGACCGCUCUGAGAUCUGGCCUCCCCAUCUGUAAAAUGGGGGUAUGCGUGGCAAGUAGCUUGAAUGCUGGCUGUAGAUGGAGAGAAAAAGUCAAAUUUUCUCCCUCCCUCUCUCUCUCUCCCUCUCUCUUUCUCUCUCUUUCUUUGGCUGACCCUGAGACAUGAGGAAGUUCUCAGCCCAAAAGUCGAACCUGAGCCGCAGCUGUAACCAGAGCUGUAUCAGUGACAACGCCAGCUCCUUACCGCCCUCAGCCACAAGGGAACUCUUCAAGCUUUCUCUUUAAAAACAGAAAUCACAGUUUCCACAAGUAAUAUGCGAUUUUUAUCCCUAUAUGUUAAGAAAUGUUGGUUUAAAAACAUCUGAACACCAUAAAAUGCUGACAUGCUCGCUGCACGCCCAGCUUUGCAUCCGAGGCCGGCUGGAUGGUGGUACCCCGUGUGUGGGCGUGUCUUGUGAUAGGGCUGUUCACCUGUUCACUUGUCCUGGCCAUCCUUACAGCCACCUCAUGAGGUGCCAGGGACAGGGAACAUCAUUUCCCCAAGGAGGGAACAGCUACAGAGUGGGGACGCCACUUCCUUCUUGAGAAAUUGAUGAGCCCGGCUUUGGACCUGGGCACUGUGUUUUACCAAGCCUCAGAACUUUGCAUCCUGAGCACUGAGUGAGCUUUCAGGGCACAAAAGCAAACCAGGGUAGAGCUACAUCUCCUAGGAGAGGGGGACACACGGGUAAACCAGUGAGACAUGUGGGGUAACGGGGGCGCGGAGGCUGGGUAACUCGUCCAUCUCAUAAAGAAUCACCAGAAAGACCUUGCUUAGAACAAGUCCCUAGGAGUUCCUGUUGUGGCUCGGCGGGUUAAGGAUCCCUGAUGUUGUCUCUGUGAGGACGCAGGUUCGAUCCCUGGCCCUUUGCUGUGGCUGAUGGAUGGUGCAUUUUUUUUAAUACCUCAACGUGGAUUCCUCCGGAGUUGUCCUGGAAAUCCAGUGGCUUGUCCUUCACUGUGCUUGUCCAGUUCACAGUCAUGGGGUCUCUAGCUCCUGCUACUCAAACACAGGAUAACUUUUUUUUUUUUUUUUUAAAUGUUCGUACUUGCACUGUGAGUUUGUUGUAUGGUUUGGGUAUUUUUUUUUUUAAGGAUCAUUGUUUAAGAAGCGACUGUGCCCCCCACCCCCAAUCCCGAACCCAAAGGUGACUCCAAGUCCCUCGUGGAAGGACACCUUCCCGUGGUCAUGACCUCUGGGGUCCUCACAUCUUCAGGGCGUCUCCUGAUGGAGGCAGCGCCAGGCAAGGGGCCAUGGGGUAAAGGCGACAUUUGAUCGCAGCCCCUCUGUUAUCUACUGGACCUCAGCUCCCUGCCCCUUAGCCUCUGAGCGCUCCUGACCAGAACCUCCGAUAGGUCACCUCUCUGGUGGGGACGGGGUGGAGGGAGGGAUGGAGGGGCGGGGUCCGCCUCGAAGGAGCAAUGGAAGCGCCAUCCAGCUGCACACGUCCGGUCGAGCGCUUGGACAAGCCGAGAUGGGUGGAAGCUGCACGCCAAGGCCCACGCUCGUCUGGUUGCAGAUUUCAAGUUGGUCUGUGGCUGGUUUCCUGCCAACAGGAGCCCACACGUCAUCCUCCAGGACUGCUUUAGCGUGAUGGCUACAGGGAUCCAGGCGUAUUUGCCUCCUGGAAAUGUGCAGAAAAAUCCGUGACCCGUCUGAACCCACGUGGAGAAAACUGGAGGAGUGAACUCAGGAUGGAUGAAUAAUGCCAAAGAUAAACACGUAAUAAAUAGGUAAAAACCCUUCCGUGGCUCCUCACUCUCCUCGGAAGACAGUCCAAACUUGAGAGUGGCCACGUGGCCCUUGGGGGCCAGGCACAGACCAAGCUCGUCCACCGAGGGGCUUGUCACCUUCUCUCCCUUGGACACACAAACUGGAUUGAACAGUGCCAGCUUCUCCUCUCUAGAACCUCACAUCCUCUGCCUGGCACACUAUCUCCUCUUCUUGUUGCUUGCUAAAUGUCACUUCCUCCAGGAAGCCCUCCCUGCCUAAUUGACUUUAGUUCAAACCCCGGGCUCCCGCUGCACUUCUCUGUAGCCCUCAUCAUUGUAAUGAUCUAAAAAAAAAAAUCUAAAAAAACCCAAA